AACGAACGCUGGCGGCAUGCCUAAUACAUGCAAGUCGAACGAUCACUUCGGUGGUAGUGGCGCACGGGUGCGUAACGCGUGGGAAUCUGCCCUUGGGUUCGGAAUAACGUCGGGAAACUGACGCUAAUACCGGAUGAUGACGUAAGUCCAAAGAUUUAUCGCCCAGGGAUGAGCCCGCGUAGGAUUAGCUAGUUGGUGGGGUAAAGGCCUACCAAGGCGACGAUCCUUAGCUGGUCUGAGAGGAUGAUCAGCCACACUGGGACUGAGACACGGCCCAGACUCCUACGGGAGGCAGCUGUAGGGAAUAUUGGACAAUGGGGGCAACCCUGAUCCAGCAAUGCCGCGUGAGUGAUGAAGGCCUUAGGGUUGUAAAGCUCUUUUACCCGGGAUGAUAAUGACAGUACCGGGAGAAUAAGCCCCGGCUAACUCCGUGCCAGCAGCCGCGGUAA
Molecule: ribosomal RNA, 449 nt
Filed under: uncultured bacterium
Lineage: Bacteria
Description: partial 16S ribosomal RNA
Rfam family: Bacterial small subunit ribosomal RNA
Source: RNAcentral